RNAcentral lists this ribosomal RNA (948 nucleotides) under Triticum aestivum (bread wheat). RNAcentral's name for it is "partial small subunit ribosomal RNA". Lineage: Eukaryota; Viridiplantae; Streptophyta; Magnoliopsida; Poales; Poaceae. The record is from RNAcentral.
AUGGCAAGUUACAAAAGGCUCCGGCUGGACUCCUGUGCUGCUAGAGCAAAAUUGAUUGCUGCAACUGAAAUAGAUGACAGUAAGGAAGUGGAGAUCUUACACAAAAAAGCUGGAACUGUUAAAUAUGGACAAGAAACUACUGAAAUUGGUGAAGAAACAGCCCUCAACAGGCAUGAUUUCAUGUGUCCUGCAUUUGGGGGCAUAUCUCCCUCGGGAUCAGGGCUGCAGCAGCUCAACAGCCAAUCUUCCCCGGGAUCGGCGCGGCUACAGAAUGCCAGCGCCACAGAAACUGCGUCGCCCGCAUCGCCUUCUGCCAGGCACGGUGCUGUCGACUCGGCGGCUGGCACGCGGCCUGGUGUGGCUGGCUCCGACACGGCACCUGGCCCGUACCAAUCAUCCACACCCACGCGGCCCAUUGCGGCUCGCUGGCCUGCUGGUGGGCCGUGCCACUACACCAGGCGCCCGCGGUCCAGUGCGGAUCCGACAGGCGGUCGAUCUGAUGCUGCUACGGACGCAGGCGUGCGAUCCGGCGCAGAUCUGCUCAAGCCCGCGCCAUCAUUACAGCAUGAUGGGCCGGUUGCCCCUUUGGGAUGCGGCGUGGGAUCUUCUGUGCCGCCCCUCUCCACUCCGUUUGCUUCAGAAGCCGCGGAAAAUCCUGCUGCACUGGGGGAAUCUGCCUCGGGAUUGCUGGGAUCGUCAGCUGUCGGAUCUUCUACGCCAGCUCCUCCUCCGCCAUGUACAUGCCUUCAGAAAGGGAUAGGUGGGUGCCACGCUGCGCCCAACUCACUAAACAAACAGUGUGCAGGGCCGGCCCUGGGCCAUGGCGAGGAGUGCGACGGCCUAGGGCCCAGCCUCAGCAGGGGCCCAUAUAUCUCUAGAAAAAUAGACUACUACACAAGAGAAACAGGUCUGGCCCAUUACCAAGGAAAAAAUUCACGCACGAACUGA